AACGAACGCUGGCGGCGUGCUUAACACAUGCAAGUCGAACGCGAAAGGGAUUUCGAUCCUGAGUAGAGUGGCGCACGGGUGAGUAACGCGUAAGUUAUCUCCCCCUCCAUCUGGAAUAACUCACCGAAAAGUGUGCUAAUACCGGAUACGUUGGAAACAAGAAAGGUGGCCUCUAUUUAUACGCUACCGUGGAGGGAUGGGCUUGCGUACCAUUAGCUAGUUGGUAGGGUAAUGGCCUACCAAGGCAACGAUGGUUAGCGGGUCUGAGAGGAUGAUCCGCCACACUGGAACUGGAACACGGACCAGACUCCUACGGGAGGCAGCAGUGAGGAAUAUUGCGCAAUGGGGGAAACCCUGACGCAGCGACGCCGCGUGGAUGAUGAAGGCCCUUGGGUCGUAAAAUCCUGUCAGAUGGAAAGAAAUGUAC
Molecule: ribosomal RNA, 427 nt
Filed under: uncultured bacterium
Lineage: Bacteria
Description: bacterial SSU rRNA
Rfam family: Bacterial small subunit ribosomal RNA
Source: RNAcentral